GGUCAUGACAAAUGGCUGGAAUCAGGA
Molecule: non-coding RNA, 27 nt
Filed under: Homo sapiens (human)
Lineage: Eukaryota; Metazoa; Chordata; Mammalia; Primates; Hominidae
Source: RNAcentral